RNAcentral lists this transfer-messenger RNA (386 nucleotides) under Candidatus Omnitrophota. RNAcentral's name for it is "WJMH01 sp014728045 Standard tmRNA". It matches the Rfam family "transfer-messenger RNA". Rfam says of the family: Bacterial tmRNA, also known as 10Sa RNA or SsrA, is named for its dual tRNA and mRNA-like properties. Its role is to liberate the mRNA from a stalled ribosome. To accomplish this part of the tmRNA is used as a reading frame that ends in a translation stop signal. The record is from RNAcentral. Lineage: Bacteria; Pseudomonadati. RNAcentral also lists the same sequence under 1 other name.
GGGGGUGACAGGACUCGACGUGUUCUUUAGGUCUUGGAGCAGCAUGCAGAGGUUCCAGGUGGCCUCUUUAAAAACCUGGAAAACAAUAAACGCAGACUACAAUCCAGUAGCCGAAGCCGAGUCUAUCUUGGCUGAGGAUGCGUUAAAUGUUCCCUCUAUGAUGGGAACUGGUUCAUUAGUUGGCGCCUUGGCCAUCUAAAUAGGACCUAAACUAACAAGGACUGCUGUAGUGAUUUCUCCUAGCUUCAGCCAGUAUCAGGAGAAUGCUCCCGGAAGGUUCCCCGUCUAUCGGGUCUUCCCGGAAAAGAUCAAUAGGUAGACUAAGCAUGUAGAUACUCCUCGGUCAAAGUUCCCGGACCCGGGUUCGAAUCCCGGCACCUCCACCA